RNAcentral lists this ribosomal RNA (219 nucleotides) under uncultured bacterium. RNAcentral describes it as "partial 16S ribosomal RNA". It matches the Rfam family "Bacterial small subunit ribosomal RNA", at positions 116 to 334 of the family's 1533-position model. The record is from RNAcentral.
CGUGAGGAACCUGCCUUGGAGAGGGGAAUAACACUCCGAAAGGAGUGCUAAUACCGCAUGAUGCAGUUGGGUCGCAUGGCUCUGACUGCCAAAGAUUUAUCGCUCUGAGAUGGCCUCGCGUCUGAUUAGCUAGUAGGCGGGGUAACGGCCCACCUAGGCGACGAUCAGUAGCCGGACUGAGAGGUUGACCGGCCACAUUGGGACUGAGACACGGCCCAG